RNAcentral lists this transfer RNA (74 nucleotides) under Gammaproteobacteria bacterium. RNAcentral describes it as "tRNA-Ser". It matches the Rfam family "tRNA". From Rfam's summary of the family: Transfer RNA (tRNA) molecules are approximately 80 nucleotides in length. Lineage: Bacteria; Pseudomonadati; Pseudomonadota; Gammaproteobacteria. The record is from RNAcentral.
UCCCCGGGGAGCUCAGUUGGUAGAGCGAUCGGCUGCUGACCGAUUGGUCGCAGGUUCGAGUCCUGCCCGGCGAG